This 699-nucleotide ribosomal RNA is filed under the name uncultured bacterium. RNAcentral describes it as "bacterial SSU rRNA". It matches the Rfam family "Bacterial small subunit ribosomal RNA", at positions 9 to 705 of the family's 1533-position model. The record is from RNAcentral.
GAGUUUGAUCCUGGCUCAGGAUGAACGCUAGCGGCAGGCCUAACACAUGCAAGUCGAGGGGUAACAGGGUAGCAAUAUCGCUGACGACCGGCGCACGGGUGAGUAACGCGUAUGCAACCUUCCUUUAACUGGGGGAUAGCCCGGAGAAAUUCGGAUUAAUACCCCAUAACAUCAUAGAAAGGCAUCUUUCAGUGAUUAAAGCUCCGGCGGUUAAAGAUGGGCAUGCGUGCCAUUAGCUAGUUGGUGAGGUAACGGCUCACCAAGGCUACGAUGGUUAGGGGGUCUGAGAGGAUGAUCCCCCACACUGGUACUGAGACACGGACCAGACUCCUACGGGAGGCAGCAGUGAGGAAUAUUGGGCAAUGGGCGCAAGCCUGACCCAGCCAUGCCGCGUGAAGGAUGAAUGCCCUAUGGGUUGUAAACUUCUUUUGUACGGGACGAAACUCCUGGUCGUGACCGGGAUUGACUGUACCGUGCGAAUAAGCAUCGGCUAACUCCGUGCCAGCAGCCGCGGUAAUACGGAGGAUGCAAGCGUUAUCCGGAUUCAUUGGGUUUAAAGGGUGCGUAGGCGGAAUAGUAAGUCAGUGGUGAAAGCCUGCGGCUUAACCGUAGAAAUGCCAUUGAUACUGUUAUUCUUGAGUAUAGUUGAGGUGGGCGGAAUGUGUAAUGCAGCGGUGAAAUGCUUAGAUAUUACACAGA